UGAGUAACACGUAUCCAACCUGCCGUCUACUCUUGGACAGCCUCUGAAAGAAGAUUAAUACAAGAUGGCAUCAUGAGUCCGCAUGUUCACAUGAUUAAAGGUAUUCCGGUAGACGAUGGGGAUGCGUUCCAUUAGAUAGUAGGCGGGGUAACGGCCCACCUAGUCUUCGAUGGAUAGGGGUUCUGAGAGGAAGGUCCCCCACAUUGGAACUGAGACACGGUCCAA
RNAcentral lists this ribosomal RNA (225 nucleotides) under uncultured bacterium. RNAcentral describes it as "partial 16S ribosomal RNA". It matches the Rfam family "Bacterial small subunit ribosomal RNA", at positions 107 to 334 of the family's 1533-position model. The record is from RNAcentral.